GAUGAACGCUGGCGGCGUGCCUAAUACAUGCAAGUCGAGCGAACAGACGAGGAGCUUGCUCCUCUGACGUUAGCGGCGGACGGGUGAGUAACACGUGGAUAACCUACCUAUAAGACUGGGAUAACUUCGGGAAACCGGAGCUAAUACCGGAUAAUAUAUUGAACCGCAUGGUUCAAUAGUGAAAGACGGUUUUGCUGUCACUUAUAGAUGGAUCCGCGCCGCAUUAGCUAGUUGGUAAGGUAACGGCUUACCAAGGCAACGAAGCGUAGCCGACCUGAGAGGGUGAUCGGCCACACUGGAACUGAGACACGGUCCAGACUCCUACGGGAGGCAGCAGUAGGGAAUCUUCCGCAAUGGGCGAAAGCCUGACGGAGCAACGCCGCGUGAGUGAUGAGGGUCUUCGGAUCGUAAAACUCUGUUAUUAGGGAAGAACAAAUGUGUAAGUAACUAUGCACGUCUUGACGGUACCUAAUCAGAAAGCCACGGCUAACUACGUG
RNAcentral lists this ribosomal RNA (497 nucleotides) under uncultured bacterium. RNAcentral describes it as "partial 16S ribosomal RNA". It matches the Rfam family "Bacterial small subunit ribosomal RNA", at positions 28 to 507 of the family's 1533-position model. The record is from RNAcentral.